This 246-nucleotide ribosomal RNA is filed under the name uncultured bacterium. Its description in RNAcentral is "partial 16S ribosomal RNA". It matches the Rfam family "Bacterial small subunit ribosomal RNA", at positions 87 to 334 of the family's 1533-position model. The record is from RNAcentral.
GCUGGCGACCGGCGCACGGGUGAGUAACACGUAUCCAACCUGCCGAUAACUCGGGGAUAGCCUUUCGAAAGAAAGAUUAAUACCCGAUGGUAUAAUCAGACCGCAUGGUCUUGUUAUUAAAGAAUUUCGGUUAUCGAUGGGGAUGCGUUCCAUUAGGCAGUUGGUGAGGUAACGGCUCACCAAACCUUCGAUGGAUAGGGGUUCUGAGAGGAAGGUCCCCCACAUUGGAACUGAGACACGGUCCAA